This 157-nucleotide ribosomal RNA is filed under the name Crotalaria pallida (smooth rattlebox). Its description in RNAcentral is "5.8S ribosomal RNA". It matches the Rfam family "5.8S ribosomal RNA". Rfam says of the family: 5.8S ribosomal RNA (5.8S rRNA) is a component of the large subunit of the eukaryotic ribosome. It is transcribed by RNA polymerase I as part of the 45S precursor that also contains 18S and 28S rRNA. Lineage: Eukaryota; Viridiplantae; Streptophyta; Magnoliopsida; Fabales; Fabaceae. The record is from RNAcentral.
AGACUCUCGGCAACGGAUAUCUCGGCUCCUGCAUCGAUGAAGAACGUAGCGAAAUGCGAUACUUGGUGUGAAUUGCAGAAUCCCGUGAACCAUCGAGUCUUUGAACGCAAGUUGCGCCCGAAGCCAUUAGGCUGAGGGCACGCCUGCCUGGGUGUCG